Non-coding RNA from Schistosoma haematobium, 48 nucleotides. The record is from Rfam. NCBI's taxonomy places the organism in Eukaryota, Metazoa, Platyhelminthes, Trematoda, Strigeidida, Schistosomatidae.
AUCCAGCUGAUGAGUCCCAAAUAGGACGAAACGCACGUCAAACUGGAU